AGUGAACGUUGGCGGCGUGGAUUAGGCAUGCAAGUCGAGCGAGAACCGUAGCAAUACGGGGACAGCGGCGAAAGGGACAGUAAUGUGUAGGUACCUACCUCCGGGUUCGGGAUAGCUGCGGGACACUGCAGGUAAUACCGAAUAACGUCUCCGGACCAAAGGUGUGAUUCCACCUGGAGAGGGGCCUGCAUCCUAUUAGCUAGUGGGGGAGGUAACGGCUCACCAAGGCGACGAUGGGUAGCGGGUGUGAGAGCACGACCCGCGUCAUUGGGACUGAGACACUGCCCAGACACCUACGGGUGGCUGCAGUCGAGGAUCUUCGGCAAUGGGCGCAAGCCUGACCGAGCGACGCCGCGUGCGGGAUGAAGGCCUUCGGGUUGUAAACCGCUGUCGUAGAGGAGGAAAUGCAGGGGGGUUAUCCCCUCUGUUUGACCUAUUCUAGGAGGAAGGACGGGCUAAGUUCGUGCCAGCCGCCGCGGUAA
RNAcentral lists this ribosomal RNA (482 nucleotides) under uncultured bacterium. RNAcentral describes it as "partial 16S ribosomal RNA". It matches the Rfam family "Bacterial small subunit ribosomal RNA", at positions 30 to 523 of the family's 1533-position model. The record is from RNAcentral.